AGCCGGCGGGAGGGAGCGCUUAAAGGGCCAGACGGGUUGAGCACUGGGGGCUGAGAGGGGCGCCUGAGGGAAGCGUAGCGUCCUCCGCCAUGGAGCCGUCAGCCACAGACUUCAGCCUUCAAGCCGGCGAGGGCAGCUCCAAAGCGGAGGGAGGGCGGCGGCGGCCAGCGGUGUCCGUGGGGGCCGUGCUGCCUGCCGGGGGAAGCGGGGAACGCAUGGGCGGCGGCACUCCCAAGCAGUUCUGCGCCUUGCUGGGGAGACCGCUCGUCAGCUACACUAUACAAGCUGUGGAAAGAAUCAGCUGGAUAUCUGAUAUUGUCGUGGUGGUAUCACAAGAGAAUGUUGAAAUAAUGAAGUCUAUAAUUAAAAAAUAUGGCCACAGGAGAACAACAGUAGUCGAAGGUGGAGUAACUCGUCACAGAUCUAUCUUCAGUGGACUGAAUGCAUUUAUGAAGAGCAACCAUUCUAGUCCCCUACUCCAGAAACCAGAAGUAGUAAUAAUCCAUGAUGCUGUGAGACCAUUUGUUGAGGAGGAUAUUCUUUUUAAAGUUGUUACGGCUGCUGAAGAACAUGGGGCAGCAGGAGCAAUCCGUCCUCUUGUCUCCACUGUUAUUGCUUCCUCUGCAGAUGGAUGUUUAGACCAUUCACUAGAUCGUGCCAAGUACAGAGCAAGUGAAAUGCCUCAGGCUUUCUUAUUCGAUAUAAUCCAUCAAGCAUAUCAUCAGUGUAGUGAUUAUGAGCUUGAUUAUGGAACAGAAUGUUUGCAUCUGGCUCUAAAAUACAGCAAAACAAAGGCUAAACUUAUUGAAGGGCCUCCUGAUUUAUGGAAGGUUACCUACAAGAGGGAUCUCUAUGCAGCGGAUUCUUUAAUUAAGGAUACCAUGUUACAACAAAUUUGUAUUAUCAGUAAUACAAAGGGAGAUGCCACACAAGUGGGGUUUCUGCUUCAUGAAACAUUGAAGAAUCAUGUGAAAGUGGUUAAAAGUACAGCUACAUCUGUUUCUGAAAAUGCUAAUCAUUUACAAAACAUCUUAUUAGAACAGUGCUACAACUUUGUUUGCAUAAAUAAUAAACUGUCUGACCUUCGAGAGACUCAUCAGCUAGUACAAAUACUUGAAAGCACAAAUGCUUCUGUUCUAUAUCCUGUUGUUCUCAUCUCGGUACAUUUGGAUAUUUUAGAAAAUGAUUUUUUUAGCAGUGGAAUGCAAAGCUUAACUAAACUUGCAAAGGAAAUAAAAAAGAAGAAUAUUUUGCUUUAUGGUCUCGUUAUGCAUUAUAGGAAGCUUGUGCCCAUCCCUGGAUUACCAGGAUGGAGAGAAACAGCCUAGAAAGAAAUAAAAGAACAGAAAACAGAAGAGAAGGAGCACUGUGAUCUGGAUCAGAUUUUUUAAACUCAGGAGAAGACAGGAACUUUGGCCUGUAAGAAAAAUGUGGAUAUAGAAAUCAUGAAAGGAUGAUGUGAAGCUUCAAGAGACUGUAGAUUCGUCUGUUUCACUUAUCACAGCUUUAAUGAGGGACAGAAAUCCUGUCUUUGUUGGCCAGAUUCUAGUAGCAUGAAACAGAAUGGCAGAUUUUUCAAGAAGACUUUUUACAGUCUUUCAUAUUUUUUUAAAAAAACAUGGGUGUGUCUGUAUCCAUAUUAGGAGGGAAACUGUUAUCUACAAAUAUGCAAAUUGCUUCAUUAUAAACAACAUUUUGACUGAAAUAAAAUUCAGAAGACUACCGAGUGCAUCUCAAGCUAUCUGGCAUGGGAGACCAGCAUUUUCUCUCUCAGUGUUCCUGAGGUUGGCUUCAUAUUUAUACCAUAUGAAUUGGGUUAGUAUAGUUUCCUGGAAACAUGCUAUGGACCAGUAGACUGGCAUCAAACUACAGACUCCUACUUUUAACAACACUGCACUGAAAAUAAAUUUACCAUCAAAAGAAAAUGGGGACUUAAGUACAAUUGAAGUUACCUUUGUACUUUGAAUGAAAAUAUGAAUAUAUAAGAGGAAUAUAUAAUAUAAAAUAUAGUUAUUAUAAGGUA
Molecule: RNA transcript, 2023 nt
Organism: Sceloporus undulatus (fence lizard)
Lineage: Eukaryota; Metazoa; Chordata; Lepidosauria; Squamata; Phrynosomatidae
Gene: CRPPA
Gene name: CDP-L-ribitol pyrophosphorylase A
Exons: 11
Source: RefSeq, a predicted model, not a curated record